Molecule: ribosomal RNA, 836 nt
Filed under: uncultured bacterium
Lineage: Bacteria
Description: bacterial SSU rRNA
Rfam family: Bacterial small subunit ribosomal RNA
Source: RNAcentral
GNAUUUAUUGGGCGUAAAGCGAGCGCAGGCGGUUAGAUAAGUCUGAAGUUAAAGGCUGUGGCUUAACCAUAGUACGCUUUGGAAACUGUUUAACUUGAGUGCAGAAGGGGAGAGUGGAAUUCCAUGUGUAGCGGUGAAAUGCGUAGAUAUAUGGAGGAACACCGGUGGCGAAAGCGGCUCUCUGGUCUGUAACUGACGCUGAGGCUCGAAAGCGUGGGGAGCGAACAGGAUUAGAUACCCUGGUAGUNCACGCCGUAAACGAUGAGUGCUAGGUGUUAGGCCCUUUCCGGGGCUUAGUGCCGCAGCUAACGCAUUAAGCACUCCGCCUGGGGAGUACGACCGCAAGGUUGAAACUCAAAGGAAUUGACGGGGGCCCGCACAAGCGGUGGAGCAUGUGGUUUAAUUCGAAGCAACGCGAAGAACCUUACCAGGUCUUGACAUCCCGAUGCCCGCUCUAGAGAUAGAGUUUUACUUCGGUACAUCGGUGACAGGUGGUGCAUGGUUGUCGUCAGCUCGUGUCGUGAGAUGUUGGGUUAANNNCCGCAACGAGCGCAACCCUUAUUGUUAGUUGCCAUCAUUCAGUUGGGCACUCUAGCGAGACUGCCGGUAAUAAACCGGAGGAAGGUGGGGAUGACGUCAAAUCAUCAUGCCCCUUAUGACCUGGGCUACACACGUGCUACAAUGGCUGGUACAACGAGUCGCAAGUCGGUGACGGCAAGCUAAUCUCUUAAAGCCAGUCUCAGUUCGGAUUGUAGGCUGCAACUCGCCUACAUGAAGUCGGAAUCGCUAGUAAUCGCGGAUCAGCACGCCGCGGUGAAUACGUUCCCGGGCCUUGU